This 495-nucleotide ribosomal RNA is filed under the name uncultured bacterium. RNAcentral describes it as "partial 16S ribosomal RNA". It matches the Rfam family "Bacterial small subunit ribosomal RNA", at positions 28 to 505 of the family's 1533-position model. The record is from RNAcentral.
GAUGAACGCUGGCGGCGUGCCUAAUACAUGCAAGUCGAGCGAACAGACGAGGAGCUUGCUCCUUUGACGUUAGCGGCGGACGGGUGAGUAACACGUGGGUAACCUACCUAUAAGACUGGGAUAACUUCGGGAAACCGGAGCUAAUACCGGAUAAUAUUUCGAACCGCAUGGUUCGAUAGUGAAAGAUGGCUUUGCUAUCACUUAUAGAUGGACCUGCGCCGUAUUAGCUAGUUGGUAAGGUAACGGCUUACCAAGGCAACGAUACGUAGCCGACCUGAGAGGGUGAUCGGCCACAGUGUAACUGAGACACGGGCCAGACUCCUACGGGAGGCAGCAGUAGGGAAUCUUCCGCAAUGGGCGAAAGCCUUACUGAGCAACGCCGCGUGAGUGAUGAAGGUCUUCGGAUCGUAAAACUCUGUUAUUAGGGAAGAACAAACGUGUAAGUAACUGUGCACGUCUUGACGGUACCUAAUCAGAAAGCCACGGCUAACUACG